AUUGAACGCUGGCGGCAGGCCUAACACAUGCAAGUCGAACGAGUGGCGGACGGGUGAGUAAUGUAUGGGAAACUGCCCGAUGGAGGGGGAUAACUACUGGAAACGGUAGCUACUACCGCAUACCAUCGGAUGUGCCCAGGUGGGAUUAGCUAGUAGGUGGGGUAACGGCUCACCUAGGCGACGAUCCCUAGCUGGUCUGAGAGGAUGACCAGCCAAACUGGAACGGAGACACGGCCCAGACUCCUACGGGAGGCAGCAGUGGGGAAUAUUGGACAAUGGGCGAAAGCCUGAUGCAGCCAUGCCGCGUGUAUGAAGAAGGCCUUCGGGUUGUAAAGUACUUUCGGUGGGGAGGCGUUACUCGAAGAAGAAGCACCGGCUAACUCCGUGCCAGCAGCCGCGGUAAUUC
This 406-nucleotide ribosomal RNA is filed under the name uncultured bacterium. RNAcentral describes it as "partial 16S ribosomal RNA". It matches the Rfam family "Bacterial small subunit ribosomal RNA", at positions 30 to 526 of the family's 1533-position model. The record is from RNAcentral.